RNAcentral lists this ribosomal RNA (406 nucleotides) under uncultured bacterium. Its description in RNAcentral is "partial 16S ribosomal RNA". It matches the Rfam family "Bacterial small subunit ribosomal RNA", at positions 30 to 526 of the family's 1533-position model. The record is from RNAcentral.
AUUGAACGCUGGCGGCAGGCCUAACACAUGCAAGUCGAACGAGUGGCGGACGGGUGAGUCCUGUCUGUGUAACUGCUCGUUGGAGGGGGCUACCUACUGCAAACGCUAGCUCAUCCCCCAUCCCAUCGCAUCUGACCCGAUGUGAUUAGCUAGUAGGUGGGGUAACGGCCAACCUAGGCGACGAUCCCUAGCGGGUCUGAGAGGAUGACCAGCCAAACUGGAACUGAGACACGGUCCAGACUCCUACGGGAGGCAGCAGUGGGGAAUAUUGCACAAUGGGCGCAAGCCUGAUGCAGCCAUGCCGCGUGGAUGAAGAAGGCCUUCGGGUUGUAAAGUACUUUAAGCGAGGAGGCGUUACUAGCAGAAGAAGCACCGGCUAACUCCGUGCCAGCAGCCGCGGUAAUUC